Long non-coding RNA from Rhinolophus ferrumequinum (greater horseshoe bat), 450 nucleotides. RefSeq lists it as uncharacterized. The record is from RefSeq and is a predicted model, not a curated record. NCBI's taxonomy places the organism in Eukaryota, Metazoa, Chordata, Mammalia, Chiroptera, Rhinolophidae. The transcript has 3 exons.
CACAUCAUUAGGACAACAUUCCUGAGCUUCUCCAACUCGUUUUAAGGCUGAGGAAGGAGACCCCAUGAAGGCGUGACUUGCCCAGCGAAUCAGCAGGUUGGUGGCAGGCCUGAGCAGGGGAGAAUCCAGGUUUUAGGAUCCAUUCCCAGUAGUAGCUGAAUUACUGGGCUAAAGGGAAGGAAUGCUUUUAAGUCCUGGCACUCCUUGCUAAAUUGCUCUCUGAAAGGAUAGAGCCUGUCUCCACGACCAGCACCAACCACACAGCAGCCACCCUCACAGAUGUUGCGUUUUUUCACAAACUGAAGACAAGACCCACCACCAGCAAAAAAAGAUUACACUUCACUGUAUUGUGAUACUCGCUGUAUUACGUGGUCUGGAGCAGAACCCGCAAUAUCUCUGAGGUCUGCCUGUACGGAGUUGACAAGCUCAAGUUCUAGUAGUGAUGUCUAC